Molecule: ribosomal RNA, 253 nt
Filed under: uncultured bacterium
Lineage: Bacteria
Description: partial 16S ribosomal RNA
Rfam family: Bacterial small subunit ribosomal RNA
Source: RNAcentral
UACGUAGGGGGCAAGCGUUGUCCGGAUUUAUUGGGCGUAAAGAGCGUGUAGGCGGCCUGGUAGGUCUGCUGUGAAAACUCGAGGCUCAACCUCGAGAUGUCGGCGGAAACCAUCUGGCUAGAGUCCGGAAGAGGAGAGUGGAAUUCCUGGUAUAGCGGUGAAAUGCGCAGAUAUCAGGAAGAACACCUAUGGCGAAGGCAGCUCUCUGGGACGGUACUGACGCUGAGACGCGAAAGCGUGGGGAGCGAACAGG